This 305-nucleotide ribosomal RNA is filed under the name uncultured bacterium. RNAcentral's name for it is "bacterial SSU rRNA". It matches the Rfam family "Bacterial small subunit ribosomal RNA", at positions 336 to 657 of the family's 1533-position model. The record is from RNAcentral.
UUCCUACGGGACGCAGCAGUGGGGAAUAUUGCACAAUGGGGGAAACCCUGAUGCAGCAACGCCGCGUGAGUGAAGAAGUAUUUCGGUAUGUAAAGCUCUAUCAGUAGGGAAGAAGAAAGACGGUACCUGACUAAGAAGCCCCGGCUAACUACGUGCCAGCAGCCGCGGUAAUACGUAGGGAGCAAGCGUUAUCCGGAUUUACUGGGUGUAAAGGGAGCGUAGACGGCUGUGCAAGUCUGAAGUGAAAUGCCGGGGCUCAACCCCGGAACUGCUUUGGAAACUGUACAGCUAGAGUGCAGGAGGGG